CCUACGGGAGGCAGCAGUGGGGAAUUUUGGACAAUGGGCGAAAGCCUGAUCCAGCCAUGCCGCGUGCAGGAUGAAGGCCUUCGGGUUGUAAACUGCUUUUGUACGGAACGAAAAGCCUCUUUCUAAUAAAGAGGGGUCAUGACGGUACCGUAAGAAUAAGCACCGGCUAACUACGUGCCAGCAGCCGCGGUAAUACGUAGGGUGCGAGCGUUAAUCGGAAUUACUGGGCGUAAAGCGUGCGCAGGCGGUUAUAUAAGACAGUUGUGAAAUCCCCGGGCUCAACCUGGGAACUGCAUCUGUGACUGUAUAGCUAGAGUACGGUAGAGGGGGAUGGAAUUCCGCGUGUAGCAGUGAAAUGCGUAGAUAUGCGGAGGAACACCGAUGGCGAAGGCAAUCCCCUGGACCUGUACUGACGCUCAUGCACGAAAGCGUGGGGAGCAAACAGGAUUAGAUACCCUGGUAGUCCACGCCCUAAACGAUGUCAACUGGUUGUUGGGAAUUCACUUUCUCAGUAACGAAGCUAACGCGUGAAGUUGACCGCCUGGGGAUACGGCCGCAAGGUUGAAACUUAAAUGAAUUGAGG
RNAcentral lists this ribosomal RNA (583 nucleotides) under uncultured bacterium. Its description in RNAcentral is "bacterial SSU rRNA". It matches the Rfam family "Bacterial small subunit ribosomal RNA", at positions 338 to 915 of the family's 1533-position model. The record is from RNAcentral.